Arabidopsis thaliana (thale cress) is the source of this 199-nucleotide non-coding RNA. The record is from RefSeq. NCBI's taxonomy places the organism in Eukaryota, Viridiplantae, Streptophyta, Magnoliopsida, Brassicales, Brassicaceae.
GUUGUUUUCUUUUUCUCGAGCAGAAAAUUUAGGUUUGUAGGUUUAUGUUCCAUUUGUUUUUAGGAAAAAAAAACAAAAUUAUGAAAGAUUUUGAUGAUAUUCUUACCUAAACUCCAUAGGAAUGUUAAAUCCAUCCACAAGUGAGAUGUCGUAGAAGUCUACGUUAUUGUAGUGGGAGAGUCCCUUGCCCUUGCAUUUA